UACACUCCUACGGGAGGCAGCAGUGGGGAAUAUUGCACAAUGGGCGCAAGCCUGAUGCAGCCAUGCCGCGUGUAUGAAGAAGGCCUUCGGGUUGUAAAGUACUUUCAGCGGGGAGGAAGGCGAUAAGGUUAAUAACCUUGUUGAUUGACGUUACCCGCAGAAGAAGCACCGGCUAACUCCGUGCCAGCAGCCGCGGUAAUACGGAGGGUGCAAGCGUUAAUCGGAAUUACUGGGCGUAAAGCGCACGCAGGCGGUCUGUCAAGUCGGAUGUGAAAUCCCCGGGCUCAACCUGGGAACUGCGUUCGAAACUGGCAGGCUAGAGUCUUGUAGAGGGGGGUAGAAUUCCAGGUGUAGCGGUGAAAUGCGUAGAGAUCUGGAGGAAUACCGGUGGCGAAGGCGGCCCCCUGGACAAAGACUGACGCUCAGGUGCGAAAGCGUGGGGAGCAAACAGGAUUAGAUACCCCAGUAGUCCCAU
RNAcentral lists this ribosomal RNA (475 nucleotides) under uncultured organism. Its description in RNAcentral is "partial 16S ribosomal RNA". It matches the Rfam family "Bacterial small subunit ribosomal RNA", at positions 332 to 798 of the family's 1533-position model. The record is from RNAcentral.